RNAcentral lists this transfer RNA (69 nucleotides) under Rattus norvegicus (Norway rat). It matches the Rfam family "tRNA". From Rfam's summary of the family: Transfer RNA (tRNA) molecules are approximately 80 nucleotides in length. Their secondary structure includes four short double-helical elements and three loops (D, anti-codon, and T loops). The record is from Rfam by way of RNAcentral. Lineage: Eukaryota; Metazoa; Chordata; Mammalia; Rodentia; Muridae.
GGGGACUUAGCUCAGUGGUCGAGCACUUGCCUAGCAACCAUAAGGCCCUGGGUUCAAUUCUCAGCUCCG